AGUAACGGCGAGUGGAGCGGCAACAGCUCAAAUUUGAAAUCUGGCCCUCUGGGCUCGAGUUGUAAUUUGCAGAGGAUGCUUCCGCGACGGCCCCGAGCCAAGUCCCUUGGAACAGGGCGUCCGAGAGGGUGAGAGCCCCGUCUUCGCCCGGGGCGCCAGUCGCGGCACGAAGCUUCUUCGAC
RNAcentral lists this ribosomal RNA (182 nucleotides) under Arthoniales sp. Its description in RNAcentral is "partial large subunit ribosomal RNA". It matches the Rfam family "Eukaryotic large subunit ribosomal RNA", at positions 82 to 261 of the family's 3401-position model. The record is from RNAcentral. Lineage: Eukaryota; Fungi; Ascomycota; Arthoniomycetes; Arthoniales.